GGGUGUAGCAACUGAUCUGAUUCUUCAGCUGGUGACCACUAUGAGUGAAUUCAGGUGUGCUGAACAAACAGGCAGAAGAAUCCAGCAGUACCACCAAUGCUACUACUACACUAGGAGAGCCCAGCGAAAGGGCCACUGUACAAUCAAAUACAUCUAUAAUUACUGUGAAAACGUUUUACGGUAAGCUCAGAUGUCUGAAGAUGGAAAGAUGGAUGGACCAAUCUGACAGCACAAAUUGCACAAGGUAAAAAUCCUGCAUGUCUCUACAGGCCUUCCUCUCAAGCUACAGGGCUGAGUGGUCAGAAUUUCACAAAGAGUUUUAAUUAAUCAACCUGAUUACCACAAGGGUUUUAUUUUUGGUUUUAACUGAUAAACACCGAUAUAACCCUUAAAACAAAAAAAGUUACAUGUGUGUGUCCUAUAAAAACUGAAAGGACAUUGGAGACCGCUACUUAUUUGGUGUUCAUGGUGCAGUUUACUGUAUUUUGUUUCAAUAGAGGUGCAGCACUCGCUGUCCUGCUAUUUGAUAUGGUCAAUUGACUUUGCAUACAAUAUCAAAAAUAAGCCCAGAAAAACUGCA
This is a long non-coding RNA of Acipenser ruthenus (sterlet), 580 nucleotides long. RefSeq lists it as uncharacterized. Lineage: Eukaryota; Metazoa; Chordata; Actinopteri; Acipenseriformes; Acipenseridae. The record is from RefSeq and is a predicted model, not a curated record. The transcript has 3 exons.